CUCGUGGGGAGGCUGCUGUUCCUGACCUCAAGGAGGCUUUGAAGCCUGUUUCCAGCUCCAGGUUGGAUAUCCAGCAACUAGAGGUGACUGUGUUGAGGGAUUGCGCUGGGGAGAAGCUAGGG
Molecule: non-coding RNA, 122 nt
Filed under: Amphidinium massartii
Lineage: Eukaryota; Dinophyceae; Amphidiniales; Amphidiniaceae
Source: RNAcentral